GACGAACGCUGGCGGCGUGCUUAACACAUGCAAGUCGAACGGAAAGGCCCUGCUUUUGUGGGGUGCUCGAGUGGCGAACGGGUGAGUAACACGUGAGUAACCUGCCCUUGACUUUGGGAUAACUUCAGGAAACUGGGGCUAAUACCGGAUAGGAGCUCCUGCUGCAUGGUGGGGGUUGGAAAGUUUCGGCGGUUGGGGAUGGACUCGCGGCUUAUCAGCUUGUUGGUGGGGUAGUGGCUUACCAAGGCUUUGACGGGUAGCCGGCCUGAGGGGGUGACCGGCCACAUUGGGACUGAGAUACGGCCCAGACUCCUACGGGAGGCAGCAGUGGGGAAUAUUGCACAAUGGGCGGAAGCCUGAUGCAGCAACGCCGUGUGCGGGAUGACGGCCUUCGGGUUGUAAACCGCUUUCGCCUGUGACGAAGCGUGAGUGACGGUAAUGGGUAAAGAAGCACCGGCUAACUACGUG
RNAcentral lists this ribosomal RNA (468 nucleotides) under uncultured bacterium. Its description in RNAcentral is "partial 16S ribosomal RNA". It matches the Rfam family "Bacterial small subunit ribosomal RNA", at positions 28 to 507 of the family's 1533-position model. The record is from RNAcentral.